UCGAGAAUAUUCGACAAUGGGCGAAAGCCUGAUCGAGCGACGCCGCGUGCAGGAUGAAGUGCUUCGGUAUGUAAACUGCUUUUGUAGACCAGAAAGUUUAUUGAUCGGUCUAAGAAUAAGAGGUUGCUAAACUCGUGCCAGCAGCAGCGGUAAUACGAGUGCCUCGAGCGUUAUCCGGAAUCAUUGGGCGUAAAGGGUGUGCAGGCGGUCUGAUUAGUCUUCUGUUAAAUUCUUCGGCUUAACCGGGGACAUGCAGGGGAAACGGUCAGACUCGAGGAUGCGAGAGGUUAACGGAACUCAUAGUGUAGCGGUGAAAUGCGUUGAUAUUAUGGGGAACACCAAAUGCGAAGGCAGUUAACUGGAGCACUCCUGACGCUGAGACACGAAAGCGUGGGUAGCG
RNAcentral lists this ribosomal RNA (400 nucleotides) under uncultured bacterium. RNAcentral describes it as "bacterial SSU rRNA". It matches the Rfam family "Bacterial small subunit ribosomal RNA", at positions 355 to 770 of the family's 1533-position model. The record is from RNAcentral.